Molecule: small RNA, 116 nt
Filed under: Marmota monax (woodchuck)
Lineage: Eukaryota; Metazoa; Chordata; Mammalia; Rodentia; Sciuridae
Source: RNAcentral
ACUGGGUGUGGUGGUGCAUGCCUGUAAUCCCAGCUACUCUGUAGACAGAGGAAGGGGGGAUCACUUGAGUCAGAGUUAGAAACCAGCUUGGACAACACAGGGGGACCCCGUUCAAA